This is a long non-coding RNA of Diceros bicornis minor, 630 nucleotides long. RefSeq lists it as uncharacterized. The record is from RefSeq and is a predicted model, not a curated record. The transcript has 2 exons. NCBI's taxonomy places the organism in Eukaryota, Metazoa, Chordata, Mammalia, Perissodactyla, Rhinocerotidae.
UGUCUUUCUCCACAGGUCAACAGUGUUGCCCAGCACAAAUGAAUUUUACACCUUCUCAAACUCAAUAGAGCAAAGAUGGAACUUCAUUCCCCCUGCAAGCCCUACUGCCCCAGAGAAAAGCAAAAACAACGGAGACUGAGAUCUCAAAAUUAUCAAGAAGCUGAAGCUCCCCAACUCCCGCUUCCUGGCGCCGAAUCCACCAUUCAUCACAGGGACAGACAAACAGAGGACACCUGCAGCUCCCCUAACUCAGCUAAACGCAGGCUGAUGGGAGGACGCCGAACUGCAAAGCCGCAGCUCCCCUCCCCCACCUAAAACCUUGUAAACUGUAAUCGUUAAUUGGCAGCAGUUGCCGUCCACACCCCAAGGCCAAAUUUCUGGUGAUGAGAGAAGAUUGGUUGAUGGAGCCCUAGAUCUCCCGCUGUAGAUAGAGAUGACAGCCGGCUUGGCGCCAGAAGACUGGGAUCACUCCUCCAACAAAUAAUCAGUCACCAAGGAUAUAUUAUUUCCCACAGACUUUCCUUUAAAAGCCUCAACUCCUAAUGCCUCAGGAGGACUGUGGAUUUUGGGGCAUGUGCCCACUACAGCCUCAUUUUGCUGGCAAAAUUAAACCACUUUUCUUUUCCUCGG